ACCUAAACCCGAUUGCGGUGAAAUCCUUUUUGUUGCAGCCAGGGCCUUGUGAAAGGGAACAAAAAGAUUAAACCAAAAGCGGGGCUGCCG
This 90-nucleotide small RNA is filed under the name Pedobacter terrae. Its description in RNAcentral is "Flavo-1 RNA". It matches the Rfam family "Flavo-1 RNA". The record is from RNAcentral. Lineage: Bacteria; Pseudomonadati; Bacteroidota; Sphingobacteriia; Sphingobacteriales; Sphingobacteriaceae.